Molecule: ribosomal RNA, 222 nt
Filed under: uncultured bacterium
Lineage: Bacteria
Description: partial 16S ribosomal RNA
Rfam family: Bacterial small subunit ribosomal RNA
Source: RNAcentral
CUACCUAGGGGUGGGGGAUAACCUGGGGAAACUCGGGCUAAUACCGCAUACGUUGGUUGGGCUACGGUCUGAUCAAGAAAGCUGGCCUCUGCUUGCAAGCUAGCGCUCCUGGAGGAGCCCGCGGCUGAUUAGCUAGUUGGUGAGGUAAUGGCUCACCAAGGCAUCGAUCAGUAGCCGGCCUGAGAGGGUGAUCGGCCACACUGGGACUGAGACACGGCCCAG